Molecule: ribosomal RNA, 254 nt
Filed under: uncultured bacterium
Lineage: Bacteria
Description: partial 16S ribosomal RNA
Rfam family: Bacterial small subunit ribosomal RNA
Source: RNAcentral
UACGUAGGGGGCAAGCGUUGUUCGGAAUUACUGGGCGUAAAGGGCGCGCAGGCGGCCCUUGAAGUCAGGCGUGAAAGCCCCGGGCUCAACCUGGGAGGUGCGCUUGAUACUCGAGGGCUUGAGUGCGGGAGAGGAGAGUGGAAUUCCCAGUGUAGAGGUGAAAUUCGUAGAUAUUGGGAAGAACACCGGUGGCGAAGGCGGCUACUCUGGACCGUAACUGACGCUGAGGCGCGAAAGCGUGGGGAGCAAACAGG